GUGGGGAAUAUUGCGCAAUGGGGGAAACCCUGACGCAGCAACGCCGCGUGAGCGAUGAAGGUUUUCGGAUCGUAAAGCUCUGUCUUUGGGGAAGAUAAUGACGGUACCCAAGGAGGAAGCUCCGGCUAACUACGUGCCAGCAGCCGCGGUAAUACGUAGGGAGCAAGCGUUGUCCGGAUUCACUGGGCGUAAAGAGCACGUAGGCGGUUAAUUAAGUCAGGUGUGAAAGUUUUCGGCUCAACCGGAAAAGUGCACUUGAAACUGGAUAACUUGAGUAUCGGAGAGGUAAGCGGAAUUCCUAGUGUAGCGGUGAAAUGCGUAGAGAUUAGGAAGAACACCGGUGGCGAAGGCGGCUUACUGGACGAUAACUGACGCUGAGGUGCGAAAGCGUGGGGAGCGAACAGGAUUAGAUACCCCAGUAGUCC
RNAcentral lists this ribosomal RNA (425 nucleotides) under uncultured bacterium. RNAcentral describes it as "bacterial SSU rRNA". It matches the Rfam family "Bacterial small subunit ribosomal RNA", at positions 354 to 796 of the family's 1533-position model. The record is from RNAcentral.